GUGCAGCAGGCGCGAAACCUUCGCAAUGUGCGAAAGCGCGACGAGGUUACUCCGAGUGCCACCCGUUGAGGGUGGCUUUUCCAAGGUGUAAAUAGCCUUGGGAAUAAGGGGAGGGCAAGUCUGGUGUCAGCCGCCGCGGUAAUACCAGCUCCCCGAGUGGUCGGGAUGUUUAUUGGGCCUAAAGCAUCCGUAGCCGGCUCUGUAGGUCUCCUGUUAAAUUCAACGGCUUAACCGUUGAGCUGCAGGGGAUACCGCAGGGCUAGGGGGCGGGAGAGGUGGACGGUACUCCAUGGGUAGGGGUAAAAUCCUCUGAUCCAUGGAAGACCACCAAUGGCGAAGGCGGUCCACCAGAACGCGCUCGACGGUGAGGGAUGAAAGCUGGGGGAGCGAACCGGAUUAGAUACCCGGGUAGUCC
RNAcentral lists this ribosomal RNA (415 nucleotides) under uncultured crenarchaeote. RNAcentral's name for it is "partial 16S ribosomal RNA". It matches the Rfam family "Archaeal small subunit ribosomal RNA", at positions 330 to 747 of the family's 1478-position model. Lineage: Archaea; Thermoproteati; Thermoproteota. The record is from RNAcentral.